Molecule: long non-coding RNA, 1000 nt
Filed under: Junco hyemalis (dark-eyed junco)
Lineage: Eukaryota; Metazoa; Chordata; Aves; Passeriformes; Passerellidae
Description: lncRNA (ENSJHYG00000013306.1)
Source: RNAcentral
UCCUGGGAAGGGAUGGGAAUCCCCAGGAAGGCAUUGGAAUUCCCGGGAAGGGAUUGGAAUUCCUGGGAAGGGUUUGGAAUCUCCGGGAAAGCAUUGGAAUCCAUGGGAAGGGAUCAGAAUCCCUGGGAAGGGACUGGAAUCUCAGGAAGGGAUUGGAAUGUGGGAAGGGAUCAGAAUUCCUGGGAAGGGAUCGGAAUACCCAGGAAGAGACCGGAAUCCCGAGAAGGGAUUGGAAUUCCUGGGAAGGGAUGGGAAUCCUCGGGAAGGGAUUGGAAUCCCCAGGAAGGGAUUGGAAUUCCUGGGAAGGGAUCAGAAUCCCUGGGAAGGGACUGGAAUCUCAGGAAGGGAUUGGAAUGCGGGAAGGGAUCGGAAUUCCUGGGAAGGGAUCAGAAUCCCCCAGGGAAGGGAUUGGAAUCCCAGGAAAGGACUGGAAUCCUCAGGAAGGGAUCCGAAUCUCCAGGUAGGGGCCAGAAUCCCGGGGAAGGGAUUAGAAUAUCUGGAGAGGGAUCAGAAUCCCUGGGAAGGGAUUGGAAUCCCAGGAAAGGACCAGAAUCCCCAGGAAGGGGCUGGAAUCCCGGGAAGGGAUCGGAAUCCAGGAAGGGAUUGGAAUCUCCAGGAAGGCAUGAGAAUAUCUGGGAAGGGAUUGGAAUCCUGGGAAAGGACCAGAAUCCCUGGGAAGGGAUCAGAAUCCCCAGGAAAGGAUCAGAAUCCUAGGAAAGGACUGGAAUCCUUGGGAAGGGAUUGGAAUUCCCAGGAAGGGAUCCCAGGAAGGGAUCGGAAUCCCAGGAAAGGAUUGGAAUCCCAGGAAUGGGGCUCAGCUCACCCCGCUCUCUCUCCCUCUCCUCCAUCCCUCCAUGUCCCGUUCAGGAUCACCCUGGGCUGGGAAUGCUGCCGGGACAGGGUUUGAGGCUCCAGCCCCUUCCCUCACCCCGAGAUGUUUCCCUGUGUCCCUCCUUUCCUUUCCUUUCNNNNNNNNNNNNNNNNNNNNNNNNNNNNNNNN